CCUACGGGAGGCAGCAGUGGGGAAUAUUGCACAAUGGGCGGAAGCCUGAUGCAGCGACGCCGCGUGAGGGAUGAAGGCCUUCGGGUUGUAAACCUCUUUCAGCAGGGACGAAGCGUGAGUGACGGUACCUGCAGAAGAAGCACCGGCUAACUACGUGCCAGCAGCCGCGGUAAUACGUAGGGUGCGAGCGUUGUCCGGAAUUACUGGGCGUAAAGAGUUCGUAGGCGGUUUGUCGCGUCGUUUGUGAAAACCCGGGGCUCAACUUCGGGCUUGCAGGCGAUACGGGCAGACUUGAGUGUUUCAGGGGAGACUGGAAUUCCUGGUGUAGCGGUGAAAUGCGCAGAUAUCAGGAGGAACACCGGUGGCGAAGGCGGGUCUCUGGGAAACAACUGACGCUGAGGAACGAAAGCGUGGGUAGCAAACAGGAUUAGAUACCCUGGUAGUCCACGCCGUAAACGGUGGGCGCUAGGUGUGGGUUCCUUCCACGGGAUCUGUGCCGUAGCUAACGCAUUAAGCGCCCCGCCUGGGGAGUACGGCCGCAAGGCUAAAACCUUAAAUGAAUUGACGG
Molecule: ribosomal RNA, 568 nt
Filed under: uncultured bacterium
Lineage: Bacteria
Description: bacterial SSU rRNA
Rfam family: Bacterial small subunit ribosomal RNA
Source: RNAcentral